Molecule: ribosomal RNA, 373 nt
Filed under: uncultured organism
Description: partial 16S ribosomal RNA
Rfam family: Bacterial small subunit ribosomal RNA
Source: RNAcentral
GUAGGUGGCAAGCGUUGUCCGGAAUUAUUGGGCGUAAGGCGCGCGCAGGUGGGUUCUUUAAGUCUGAUGUGAAAGCCCCCGGGCUCAACCGGGGAGGGUCAUUGGAAACUGGGGAACUUGAGUGCAGGAGAGGAAAGUGGAAUUCCACGUGUAGCGGUGAAAUGCGUAGAUAUGUGGAGGAACACCAGUGGCGAAGGCGACUUUCUGGCCUGUAACUGACACUGAGGCGCGAAAGCGUGGGGAGCAAACAGGAUUAGAUACCCUGGUAGUCCACGCCGUAAACGAUGAGUGCUAAGUGUUGGGGGGUUUCCGCCCCUCAGUGCUGCAGCUAACGCAUUAAGCACUCCGCCUGGGGAGUACGGUCGCAAGACUG